RNAcentral lists this ribosomal RNA (450 nucleotides) under uncultured bacterium. RNAcentral's name for it is "partial 16S ribosomal RNA". It matches the Rfam family "Bacterial small subunit ribosomal RNA", at positions 338 to 795 of the family's 1533-position model. The record is from RNAcentral.
CCUACGGGGGGCAGCAGUAAGGAAUAUUGGUCAAUGGACGAAAGUCUGAACCAGCCAUCCCGCGUGCAGGAUGAAAGCCCUAUGGGUUGUAAACUGCUUUUAGCAGAGAAGAAAAGCUUUCAUUAAUGAGAGUCUGACGGUAUCUGCAGAAUAAGCACCGGCUAACUCCGUGCCAGCAGCCGCGGUCAUACGGAGGGUGCGAGCGUUAUCCGGAAUUACUGGUUUUAAAGGGUAGGAAGGCGUCAUAUGUGAAAUCUUGUCGCUGAACGAUAAAAUUGCCAAUGAGACUGGUACUCUUGAAUUGGGUUGAGGUUAGCGGAAUGUGACAUGUAGCGGUGAAAUGCAUAGAUAUGUCAUGGAACACCAAUUGCGAAGGCAGCUAACUGGGCCUUGAUUGACGCUGAGGCACGAAAGCGUGGGUAGCGAACAGGAUUAGAUACCCGAGUAGUC